RNAcentral lists this long non-coding RNA (204 nucleotides) under Ricinus communis (castor bean). RNAcentral describes it as "long non-coding RNA (RCOM_LNC000786)". Lineage: Eukaryota; Viridiplantae; Streptophyta; Magnoliopsida; Malpighiales; Euphorbiaceae. The record is from RNAcentral.
CUAAUUCCACUAAAGAUCCUAAUCCAACAAAGAGUCCUGAUGACAUCAAGAGUUCAAGCGACAAAAGGAAUCCUAUUUCCACUAGGAAUCCUAAUCCAAUUAGGAGUCCUACCGAGAUUCAACUUUGAUUAAUUGUAUUUCAUUCAUGGAUUAAAGCCCAACGUGAAGACAUGAAGAUCAGAUCUGAUUUAUGUUGAAUUCAAG